Non-coding RNA from Triticum urartu, 582 nucleotides. NCBI's taxonomy places the organism in Eukaryota, Viridiplantae, Streptophyta, Magnoliopsida, Poales, Poaceae. The record is from RefSeq and is a predicted model, not a curated record.
GCAGCCCGGACGUACAAGCCGUCGAAGCUGACGUUCCUUUGCACAGGCUGCACAGACGGGUGUACAAGUUGUUGCUUCUGUUCAUCCACGCGCCAGUGACUCACAUACGUUGCUAGCUUUUGUUACUUGGUCCAUCCCUAGGAAGCAUAAGAUUACUUCAGUAUGCAUAUACACGUUGCUAGCUACGUGCAGGGUAUCUCAAGUUCACAAAUAUUUAUGAGAUUGUUUUACUAGCUUUUGUUAUCAUUUGGCCCUUCAGUAUGCAGAUUGAUCUCAACAUUCAUAAGAAUCUUAAAAAAAUGGAGAUGAAAAUACUUCAAGUAGUUCUGAGUGGAGAUCAUUUGAUAGCAUUUUGUUGUAGCAUCUACAUAAGACCUUUUCAUUUCAUUUUACCGAGAAACGCUGGAGGGUUCAUGUUUUCCUAAUCCAGGACAUGUUGAAGGUUCCUGAUGCAUUCUUACAAGAAGCAACAAUCCAGAGGUAAUUAGUGAAAUGAUAAGAGGGUCAAUUAAUGGUGUUCAAUUUUUCCUUCAAGCAAACAGUUUGUACCCAAAUACAAUACUAUUCAGUAUCAUCCUGAAA